GAGUUAAGAUGUAGAUGGCUUCUACUGUAGAACUGCAACUUCUUUCAAUAGGGUUCGAUUCCCUCUUGACUCU
RNAcentral lists this transfer RNA (73 nucleotides) under Jaminaea angkorensis. RNAcentral describes it as "tRNA-Cys". It matches the Rfam family "tRNA". From Rfam's summary of the family: Transfer RNA (tRNA) molecules are approximately 80 nucleotides in length. Their secondary structure includes four short double-helical elements and three loops (D, anti-codon, and T loops). Lineage: Eukaryota; Fungi; Basidiomycota; Exobasidiomycetes; Microstromatales. The record is from RNAcentral.